Molecule: non-coding RNA, 148 nt
Filed under: Pan troglodytes (chimpanzee)
Lineage: Eukaryota; Metazoa; Chordata; Mammalia; Primates; Hominidae
Source: Rfam by way of RNAcentral
GCCGGGCAUAGUGGCGGACGCCUGUAAUCCCAGCUACUCUGGAGGCUGAGACAGGAGAAUUGCUUGAACCCAGGAGGCGGAGCUUGCAGUGAGCUGAGAUCACACCACUGCACUCCAGCCUGGGUGACAGAGCAAGAUUCCGUCUCAA